RNAcentral lists this ribosomal RNA (273 nucleotides) under uncultured bacterium. Its description in RNAcentral is "partial 16S ribosomal RNA". It matches the Rfam family "Bacterial small subunit ribosomal RNA", at positions 524 to 796 of the family's 1533-position model. The record is from RNAcentral.
UACAGGGGGUGCAAACGUUGCUCGGAAUUAUUGGGCGUAAAGCGCGCGUAGGCGGCUACUUAUGUCGGAUGUGAAAGCCCCUGGCUCAACUGGGGAAGUGCACCCGAAACUGAGUAGCUGGAGUACGAAAGAGGGUCGCGGAAUUCCCGGUGUAGAGGUGAAAUUCGUAGAUAUCGGGAGGAACACCGGUGGCGAAGGCGGCGACCUGGGUCGAUACUGACGCUGAGGCGCGAAAGCGUGGGGAGCAAACAGGAUUAGAAACCCUUGUAGUCC